This is a long non-coding RNA of Cyprinus carpio (common carp), 1826 nucleotides long. NCBI's taxonomy places the organism in Eukaryota, Metazoa, Chordata, Actinopteri, Cypriniformes, Cyprinidae. The record is from Ensembl.
GAUCUUUAUUUUGUUCAGUGUUCUAUAAAGCAAUGUUUUUAUUGUUCUUUAUGCAGUAUUUUCCUACAUGAAAAAUGACUAUGUCAUCAAAGCGAUCAUGCUACGAGGUUGAAGGAUACGUCCAUCAGGUGUCCCCUGUACUACAGUCUCUAAAGGCUAAAUAUUUCACUGCUCUACUGCAGGAGUGUGACCGUAACACUCGCGUGGUGGUGUUUGAUAUACAGCACCACAAUGUCUUUGAGUGUGUGGAGAAAGACAGGCAAGUGACAAUUCUUUUAGGUUUCUCAUUAAACAUGAACAGAAUAAGUGAUAUGUUGGGAGUAACUAAUAAAUUAAAUUAAAUUUACGCACGUAGCAGAUGCUUUUAUCCAAAGCGACUUACAGAGCAUUCAGGCUAACAUUUUUUUUUUUUUACCUAACAUGUAUUACCUGGGAAUGAAACCCACAACCUUGCACUGCUAACGCAAUGCUCUACCACUUGAGCCACAGGAACUCUAGUACAUGCUAAUACUAAUACAUGCUGUUUUACGACAGCAGCAUGUCAUUCUUGCUCCCAGUAGUAUUAGUGUAUGUAUUGGCUGUAACUAAUCCAUACCUGUUCUGCAGCAGCAUAGCACUACUAAUUUGCCAAGAAAUAGCAUUAACAUUGUCACAUUCUUUGACAUGACAGACUUUAAAUUGUUAUAGUAGAAUUUGUUAUUCAUCUGUAAUGGUUGACAAGUGAAAUUGCAACUUGAUUUUUCUUUUCUCCUUACAGGAGUCCUGUGAAACUAACUGGAGUCACAAUAAGGCCAUCCUUCCAAAAUUCAGGAAGAGAUGAUAUUAUUAUAAACAGUUACAGCAAAAUUUAGAUCAUUCGACACAUACCAUUUGCUUUUGAUGAUGGUCUAAGAGCCAUUAGUAAAUCCAGAACCCUAAUGGAUAUUGCCAGUGACAUCAAGGAAUAUCAGAGGGUGACCAUCCAGGUCAAAAUACUUUCUCUCUGCUUUGAGAAGCUGACACUAACUCGCAGUCAAAAGCAAGUCAUGAGGAAGACAUAUCGAGUUGCUGAUAAGACUUACAGUAUGGCUCUAAGCAUCUGGGGUGAUGGCCAUGUUGAUGUUGGCAAGUGGUAUGAGAUGCAAAACAUUUCGGUCCGGCAGUUCAAUAUGAAGCCUUGCCUGUCUACCACUUUGCAAACGGAGAUCAAGGUUCUGCAAGAUUUGGGCAACUGCUUUCAGAGGGAUGAAGAUGAAGUUACCACCAUUGAGGGCGACAUUGUUGACACUGAAAUAAAAGUGAAUCACCUGUGUCCAAAAUUACAUAAAAUGGAUCCAGUUAACACCACCACAUUAAUGAAUCAUUGUAUGAAAUGUGACUCCUUUUGUAAAACCACAAAAAUAAAGUCCAUUUUAAAUGGCCAUAUAUCAAUCGAGUCAAAUGCAGUUCACCAGAAAAUCAUCAUGGAUGAUGGUCAUCUCCGUGAGCUGUUAAAUUUGUCAGAAAACUUCAAAGAUACCACCGAUGAGCUGGCAUCCAAAGUUUUAAGUAAUGACCGGCUAAGGGUCCAGAUGAUGGACCGUGUACUUGUAAAGGCAGAGUUUGUUAAGGCCAGUGAAGGUAGCGGUGUCUCCCCUGGUCCAAGUAGCGGAGCCUCCCCUGGUCCAAGUGGCAGUGCCUCCCCUGGUCCAAGUGGUGGUGCCUCCUGUGGUCCAAGUAGUGGUGCCUCCCGUGGUCCAAGUAGCGUUGCCUUCCCUGCUUCAAAUGCAGCCAUGGACAAAAUGGUGUCUGACACAGAAUCAGAAGGGCUUGAGUUUCUUUUCAGUGAAGACAAAGAAUUUGAUUAA